RNAcentral lists this small nucleolar RNA (100 nucleotides) under Drechslerella stenobrocha 248. RNAcentral describes it as "A. fumigatus snoRNA Afu_513". It matches the Rfam family "A. fumigatus snoRNA Afu_513". The record is from Rfam by way of RNAcentral. Lineage: Eukaryota; Fungi; Ascomycota; Orbiliomycetes; Orbiliales; Orbiliaceae.
CAAAGUGAUGAAACUGCACUGGGCACCGACAUCCUUUGGAUGAGCGCAAUGAGCCGAAACGCAACUUCAUGGCAGGCCUAGAAAACCUCGCCAACUGAAA